RNAcentral lists this ribosomal RNA (449 nucleotides) under uncultured bacterium. RNAcentral describes it as "partial 16S ribosomal RNA". It matches the Rfam family "Bacterial small subunit ribosomal RNA", at positions 29 to 523 of the family's 1533-position model. The record is from RNAcentral.
AACGAACGCUGGCGGCAUGCCUAACACAUGCAAGUCGAACGAAGCCUUCGGGCUUAGUGGCGCACGGGUGCGUAACGCGUGGGAAUCUGCCCUUUGGUUCGGAAUAACAGUUGGAAACGACUGCUAAUACAGGAUGAUGACGAAAGUCCAAAGAUUUAUCGCCAGAGGAUGGGCCCGCGUAGGAUUGGCUAGUUGGUGUGGUAACGGCGCACCAUGGCGACGAUCCUUAGCUGGUCUGAUAGGAUGAUCAGACACACUGGGACUGAGACACGGCCCAGACUCCUACGGGAGGCUGCAGUGAGGGAUAUUGGACAAUGGGCGAAAGACUGAUCCAGCAAUGCCGCGUGAGUGAUGAAGGCCCUAGAGUUGUAAAGCUCUUGUACCCGGGAUGAUAAUGACAGUACCGGGAGAAUAAGCCCCGGCUAACACCGUGGCAGCAGCCGCGGUAA